UACGUAUGGAGCGAGCGUUGUCCGGAAUUAUUGGGCGUAAAGGGUACGCAGGCGGUUUAAUAAGUUGAAUGUUAAAGAUUGGGGCUCAACCCCGUAAAGCAUUAGAAACUGAUAAACUUGAGUAGUGGAGAGGAAAGUGGAAUUCCUAGUGUAGUGGUGAAAUACGUAGAUAUUAGGAGGAAUACCAGUAGCGAAGGCGACUUUCUGGACAAAGACUGACGCUCAGGUGCGAAAGCGUGGGAAGCAAACAGG
RNAcentral lists this ribosomal RNA (252 nucleotides) under uncultured bacterium. Its description in RNAcentral is "partial 16S ribosomal RNA". It matches the Rfam family "Bacterial small subunit ribosomal RNA", at positions 524 to 776 of the family's 1533-position model. The record is from RNAcentral.